AUUGAACGCUGGCGGCAUGCUUUACACAUGCAAGUCGAACGGUAACAGGCCUUCGGGUGCUGACGAGUGGCGAACGGGUGAGUAGUGCAUCGGAACGUGCCCAAUCGUGGGGGAUAACGUAGCGAAAGUUACGCUAAUACCGCAUAAGCCCUGAGGGGGAAAGUGGGGGACCUUCGGGCCUCACGCGAUGAGAUGAGCCGAUGCCGGAUUAGCUAGUUGGCGGGGUAAAGGCCCACCAAGGCGACGAUCCGUAGCUGGUCUGAGAGGAUGAUCAGCCACACUGGAACUGAGACACGGUCCAGACUCCUACGGGAGGCAGCAGUGGGGAAUAUUGGACAAUGGGGGCAACCCUGAUCCAGCCAUGCCGCGUGUGUGAAGAAGGCC
RNAcentral lists this ribosomal RNA (384 nucleotides) under uncultured bacterium. RNAcentral describes it as "bacterial SSU rRNA". It matches the Rfam family "Bacterial small subunit ribosomal RNA", at positions 29 to 416 of the family's 1533-position model. The record is from RNAcentral.